Molecule: ribosomal RNA, 764 nt
Filed under: Salmonella enterica
Lineage: Bacteria; Pseudomonadati; Pseudomonadota; Gammaproteobacteria; Enterobacterales; Enterobacteriaceae
Also listed under: 1 other name
Description: partial 23S ribosomal RNA
Rfam family: Bacterial large subunit ribosomal RNA
Source: RNAcentral
GGUUAAGCGACUAAGCGUACACGGUGGAUGCCCUGGCAGUCAGAGGCGAUGAAGGGCGUGCUAAUCUGCGAUAAGCGCCGGUAAGGUGAUAUGAACCGUUAUAACCGGCGAUACCCGAAUGGGGAAACCCAGUGUGUUUCGACACACUAUCAUUAACUGAAUCCAUAGGUUAAUGAGGCGAACCGGGGGAACUGAAACAUCUAAGUACCCCGAGGAAAAGAAAUCAACCGAGAUUCCCCCAGUAGCGGCGAGCGAACGGGGAGGAGCCCAGAGUCUGAAUCAGCAUGUGUGUUAGUGGAAGCGUCUGGAAAGGCGCGCGAUACAGGGUGACAGCCCCGUACACAAAAGCGCAUGUGCUGUGAGCUCGAUGAGUAGGGCGGGACACGUGGUAUCCUGUCUGAAUAUGGGGGGACCAUCCUCCAAGGCUAAAUACUCCUGACUGACCGAUAGUGAACCAGUACCGUGAGGGAAAGGCGAAAAGAACCCCGGCGAGGGGAGUGAAAAAGAACCUGAAACCGUGUACGUACAAGCAGUGGGAGCACCCUUUUGGGUGUGACUGCGUACCUUUUGUAUAAUGGGUCAGCGACUUAUAUUCUGUAGCAAGGUUAACCGAAUAGGGGAGCCGGAGGGAAACCGAGUCUUAAUUGGGCGUUAAGUUGCAGGGUAUAGACCCGAAACCCGGUGAUCUAGCCAUGGGCAGGUUGAAGGUUGGGUAACACUAACUGGAGGACCGAACCGACUAAUGUUGAAAAAUUAGCGGAUGA